UAGGGAAUAUUGCUUAAUGGGCGAAAGCCUGAAGCAGCAACGCCGCGUGUGUGAAGAAGGCCUUCGGGUUGUAAAACACUUUUUGAGGGAAUGAGGAAGGACAGUACCCUCAGAAUAAGCCUCGGCUAACUACGUGCCAGCAGCCGCGGUAAAACGUAGGAGGCGAGCGUUAUCCGGAUUUACUGGGCGUAAAGCGCGUGCAGGCGGCACGGCAAGUUGGAUGUGAAAGCUGCCGGCUUAACUGGGAGAGGUCGUUCAAAACUGCCGAGCUAGAGUGCGGGAGAGGGGGGUGGAAUUCCGGGUGUAGUGGUGAAAUGCGUAGAUAUCCGGAGGAACACCAGUGGCGAAAGCGGCCUCCUGGUCCGCAACUGACGCUCAGACGCGAGAGCUAGGGUAGCAAACGG
Molecule: ribosomal RNA, 404 nt
Filed under: uncultured bacterium
Lineage: Bacteria
Description: bacterial SSU rRNA
Rfam family: Bacterial small subunit ribosomal RNA
Source: RNAcentral